Molecule: ribosomal RNA, 444 nt
Filed under: Holothuria mammata
Lineage: Eukaryota; Metazoa; Echinodermata; Holothuroidea; Aspidochirotida; Holothuriidae
Description: partial 16S ribosomal RNA
Rfam family: Bacterial large subunit ribosomal RNA
Source: RNAcentral
AAUCAUUUGUCUUUUAAAUGGAGACUUGUAUGAACGGCAAAACCUCCUCCAACUGUCUCCCCUCCCAUCCUUCCAAAUUUCCUCCUGUGUGAAGAAGCACAGAUACACCAGAAAGACGAGAAGACCCUGUCGAGCUUUAACCACUAAGUGGGCCUUACCCUUUCAGGCACCACCCAAAGGUUUUGGUUGGGGCAACCACGGAGAAAAAACAUCCUCCAGAACGAAUAGAAGAAAGCUUUUCACUAUUAUUAUGACUAAGAACCAGGAACUGGUAUUCGGAAAGAGUUACCGCAGGGAUAACAGCGUCAUCUCCUCUAAGAGUCCUUAUUGACGAGGAGGUUUGCGACCUCGAUGUUGGAUUGGGGCCCCCUUAGGGUGCAGAAGCUCUAAACGGUUAGACUGUUCGUCUAUUAAAGCCCUACAUGAUCUGAGUUCAAACCGGAG